CACCACCGCACCUCACAGGCAACCUCUGGAGUGCACGCGUACAUAUAACCUAACCAUCUCGUUUCUUCCUCCCCACCCCCACCCCGCCAUACCGCCCCACCGACACACGCCUACACGGGCCUGAUGCUGAAGACCGGCAAGGAUCUCUCCCAGGGCCAGGCCUUCCACCGGCAGCUGCUCAGCGAGUACAACACGGAGAUCACGUUGGAUAAUUACGUCUCCUACUUUGAGCUGAAGCCGAUUGCAAAGAAGAUCGAGCACAUCCGGCAAGCGUUGGAGUCCACGUACCGUGACCGGUAUGCGCACCGCAGCGUCGUUGAGCCAUCGCUGACGUCGACGCUGACGAUUACGGAACCGCUGCAGGUGGAGCCCGUGCAGCCCUGUCUGUGCGAGACGUCCGCCGCCGUCACGCCGACGGGCCGGCGCGAUGACAAGGAGUUUCCCGCCUCGCCCGUCUUCGACACACCGAGAGGGCGGCAGCAGCACAUCACCACUACCAUGUUCACCGACCCGCUCUCGCCACUCUUCUUCGAGACACCCGGCUUCAGGGCGCUAAAGGAGACGGACAAGGAGCUGGCGGCGCUUAUCCAGCGCCGCAUCCAGCUGCAGGAGAGGUUCUUCGAGAAGCUGCAUGAGUCGUACAUGCGCGUCAAGCGCUACCUCAUCAAGCUCGAGCGCGACUUUGUGAACGCUGUCGCGGAGCUACGCACUUUCAACGAGGACCACAUCCGCAACGAGCUCCCGCGCAACUACAUCCCGUCGCUCUACCUGAAGCUUGAAGUCAUAGUCAAGUACCGCGCCCUCAACCUGAAAGCGUUCCGAAAGAUUCUGAAGAAGUUCCAGGAGCGGUGCGCCUGCGACAGCCUCGAGCUGCUGCAGCGCGUCGUGAACAUUGACCGGCUCAUCUACGCGAGCAACAUCUCACAGCCUUCCAUCGACUUUCGCAGCGCGGCGCUCGAUCUGAUUGUAGUGUACGGCACCGUCUUCAGACUCACGUACGAGCAGGCCGUCCGACACAUGAAGCAGUACGAGAACCGCACCGGCGUCAACGCGCAGCGUAUCCUCCCUAACAGCCAGACCUUCUUCGUCGCCGACGCCUUUCCCCACCACGAGCGCCCAGGUACGUUUGCGGUGCGAGUGCUGUCCGGCACGUGCAGCCUUUUCUGCGAGAAGAUGAUCACGGAGGUGCUGCAGUGCCCGCGCUAUCCCGGCAACAGCUGCGGCCGUUUUGCGAACGGCGAGGUCAGCGUGAACCUGCAGGCCCCUGUCCGUGGCGACGACGUGUUCGUCGUGCAGUCCAUGGUCGCUCUCGAGUCGGAAAACCUCAGCAACGCGGGGGCGCUGAUGGAGCUGGCGCUGCUAGUCCACUCGGCGCAGCUCGCGGCGGCGGCGCGCAUUACGGCGGUUAUUCCGUAUCUUGCAUACACGAGCAACGUCGCCUCCAUCUCGGCCGUGGCGGAGAUGAUUGAGUUGGUCGGCUGCCACCACGUCAUCACGGUGGACAUGCACAGCGACCAGGUGGAAGGCAUGUUCUCCAUCCCGAUAGAGAGCGCCUCUGCCAUGUACGAAUUUGUGCGUUACGUCUCGAAUCUAUUGGAAAGCGAGGGGAACACCUUCGAGAACAUUACGGUCGUCGCCCCAAGCGGCGAGUUUCUCGGUCGUGCGAAGGAGUACGCGGAUGCGCUCAUGCGCUACAACAACCUCGACAGCGCCACGCAGUUCGUGUCGGUGUGCACGGCGGUGCGGCGGGUAGAGACGCAGCCGUUGGCGUGCACCACUCGGACCAACCGCCACGACUACGAGAUUCCGCGCGUGAUAGCAGAAAGCCACCGCUGCACCGGCCUUUCCUCGUCUGGGGAGGUGGCGCACGAGUGCAAGCUGCAGCAGCAGCAGCACGGGCCAGUGACGCGGAGCACGGAGUGGGGUACGCCGAACAGCAGCACCGCUGCAAGCGUGGCGACAAGCCACAUCAACGUUAACACCCCCAUCGAUGCCCAGGGGAAACAGUACCUGCAUAGCCCUGCUACGCCGCCCGCGGCGGAUGCGGUGACGUCGGAGCUAGUCGCCAUCGUUGGCAGCGAAUCACAGGCCGUGAGUUUCAGCACGCACAGCUACUACGCCAGCACGAACGCCACCGCACACGGCGGCACCCACAACCUUCUGCUGCAGCGCCACGGCGAGCCGGACAUGCAACGCAGCAGCAGCACUCUUGGUAUCGAGAAGGCCCUUCGGCAACAGGAAGAGGGCCCUCAGGCACUCAUCAUGCGUAAGGAGACAGCGAGCAAUGAGUACAAGAACUACGUCCUUGUCGGCGAUGUCAAGGACCGCCUGUGCAUCAUCAUUGAAACUGUGAUCGACGAGGCUAUUAACAUGGCACACGUGGCGCGCUGCCUUCAAGAGCAGGGCGCAGAGCGCAUCAUCCUCGUCGCGACGCACGCGGUCAUGUCCGGCAAUGCAAUCAAUCUACUGGUCGAGUCGCCCAUUGAGCUGGUCGUGGUUACAGAUAGCGUAAAUCAGGACGAGCUCAUGAAGAACCCGGCGCUGGCGCGCAAGCUGCGCGUCGUGCCGAUCGCGCCGUUGCUCGCGCGCGCGAUCGAGAAGAUUCACACCGAGAACACGCUCGCGACACUUUUCGACAAGUCCUAGCACACGCAUACGCAUACGCACACGCACGGACGUGCGUGUGCGGUGCGACAACCGUGCCGGCGUCCGCCGUGAUGCGGAGAGAAGAAAAAAAAAAUAGGACCAAGCAAACGGUGAAGACGACAUAAAGAAGAAAAGUUGUGAGGGGGAGGGAACUGCUCCGACGCACUCGCCCGUGUGUGCGUGUGUGUGUGUGUGUGUGUGUGUGUGUGUGUGGCGGUGGCGGUGGCGGUAGUAGUGGUGGUGGGGCGAAGUGAUGCAUUGAUGGUGGAAGCAGUGGCAUGUGUGUGUAUACAUAUAUGUCUCUCUGUGUGGGUAAGAGCACGGUUAGGUGAUGAAGAAGAGAUAACGCAACGGAAGGCGGAUCAUGUCGAUUGAGCAUCCGUCGUGUGUCCUCGGCCCCAGCACCCACGCAACGAUCGUCUUCCCCUUGCUCUGAUGAGGAUGAGGAGAGUGAUGAGAAGGACGUGUUAUAAGUUGCCUUCGCGGACGUCCGGGCCUCCUGUGUUGUUGUUUGAUAUUUUGUUUUGUGUGGUGAGGAGCGCUGGAUUGCACGCGCCGACACCGCUUUUUCUGCCUCCUCCCCGCCCCCACCCCUCUUGUUGUUUUUUUUUGUGUGUUUCUGUGUGUGUGUGUACGUGUGAUCAGCACAUCUGGCGCCGAAGCACCGAUACGUGCGCGCGGACGUUCUGCUACAGUUCGUGCCUACAUCGAAGCACACACACGCACACACGGGCACGGGUACAGAGACCCUAACGCACGCACCACCGUUGUGUUCUUAGCUCCGUCCAUCCUCUCCCCCCCCCCUCAUUGCUUGAUGGUUCUGUGUUGGGGGCACCUUGUCGUAUUCGAUUCCCGUAACAACUUCAACGCCGGUGCGCCGGAAAGCGGCCGCCAACAAAGACCAAAAAAAAAGGAAAAAGGGAGAGGGAGGGCGAAUGAGCGGAAGCGCCCUUCAAGAUGGAGUAGAACUGCUCAAGAAGCGCAGCAGCAGCACCAAAAACCACCGCCAUUCCGCUCCCUCGCCCCCUCCCCUGCCCUGGCGUGUCCCCGCGCACAGACAUGCACAGUCGAAUACGAGAACGCCACUCGAGGGAGCAGGACGCGCGACAAGAAACGAAAACAAAGAAACCUGUAUGCCCAACGUGAGUCCAUAGAACCGAGAGGGGGGGGGGGGGCAAGGGAAGCGACGGGCAGGAAUGGUGAUGACAAGCGCGGCGAUCAUUUGUGAUGGGGCCUCCCUCCUUAUCAGCUGACUGUCUCAUCUCUGCUCGACACCACGUGCUACGGUAGGUCCGCAGGCCGUCUAGUUGACGAGGGGAAGGGCUUGGAGGAGGGAGGGGGCAAGGUGAAGCUGAGCGAGGUGCGGCCCUCCUCUCUCUCUCUUCGGCUCUGUCUAUACGGUGGCGUCGUGAGGUGACUUGUCCAUCACGGCAUGUCCGUUCGGCAACCCUCCCACCCACCGAGCCACACCCAGCCAGCUCAGCCCUCCAACUUGCCUCUCCCUCUGUCCCGCACGCACUGCUGUCUCUUCUCUCGUGUCCCGCUUUCGCUCCGCACUUGCGUGGUCGCUUCGUUGGGCCACACACGCCCUCUUCCAG
Molecule: unclassified non-coding RNA, 4244 nt
Filed under: Leishmania donovani
Lineage: Eukaryota; Euglenozoa; Kinetoplastea; Trypanosomatida; Trypanosomatidae
Description: gene:LdHU3.08.0580(CDS-product:ribose-phosphate_p yrophosphokinase_putative)
Source: RNAcentral